This 551-nucleotide long non-coding RNA is filed under the name Amborella trichopoda. RNAcentral describes it as "long non-coding RNA (ATRI_LNC005410)". The record is from RNAcentral. Lineage: Eukaryota; Viridiplantae; Streptophyta; Magnoliopsida; Amborellales; Amborellaceae.
CACUGUAUCAAGCUUUGAAGGACGCAUCCAUUGAACGAUCGUAUCUCUUCGGAUUGACCCACGUGUUCUUAUCGUACGGCUGAAAGACAUAAUGGUUGUCGACCCACUUCAACGUGAAGCGCAGAAGUCCCUCCUCUUCUUCUUCUUUCGAUGGUUUUUCUCCUUCAUCCUUUUCUCUCUCUACUUCUCUCUCAUCACUUCUUUCCGCUUUCACCUCUUCUCUCUCUUCCACUUUGUUGUGGUCUCCGAUUUUCGUUUUUUGAUCAUCUUAUUGCCUUUUGUAUUAUCAAAUCUGUAAAAUCAAUGAAUAAAAUGGAAAUGAAAACAUUAUUAUAUGUUUUCUAAAGAAAUAACAAGAGCUUAUCAGUACAAAUAAUGAAAUAAAAAUAUGAGAAACCUUACUGGUUUGUUUCUCUUUGGAAUCAGAAUACCUCCUCUCUCUCUAACAUGGACUUCAAAUGACUCAUAGAAGAUAUUUGGAACGAAUUAUUCUAGUAACAAAUCUCAUCAAAGAUUUAUAUCACGUGACUAUUAUCAUUUAAUAUUUUUUU